Molecule: unclassified non-coding RNA, 267 nt
Filed under: Hevea brasiliensis (rubber tree)
Lineage: Eukaryota; Viridiplantae; Streptophyta; Magnoliopsida; Malpighiales; Euphorbiaceae
Source: RNAcentral
AAACGGCGAACUACCCAAUGUGAAAAGCACCGACCAGAAAAUCCACCACCGGAGUAUAAUCACUAGUGACCCAUAUGUUGCUGUGUGUGCACCCCAUACCGCUCUUGCUCGUACACGUGUUAUACCCAAUUCACAAAACCCUGUUUGGGAUGAGCAUUUCCGUAUCCCUUUAGCACACCCUAUGGACUGCUUGGAUUUUCGUGUUAAAGAUGAUGAUGUUUUCGGUGCUCAAGUUAUGGGUAAAGUUACAAUCCCGGCGGAAAAGAU